UUUUUUUUUUUUUUUUUUUUUUUUUUUUUUUUUUUUUUUUCCCCUGGCACACCUUGCGCAAUCACCAUCCAAAGAGCAUGGGAUGCUGGAC
RNAcentral lists this non-coding RNA (91 nucleotides) under Alexandrium minutum. The record is from RNAcentral. Lineage: Eukaryota; Dinophyceae; Gonyaulacales; Pyrocystaceae.